ACUUGUUUGUUUUCCAAUUUUUCACAGACAACACAAUAUCUAAAAAAGGGUCACCAAAGGCAUCGGAGAACAAAUCAAAACCAUACCUAGCCGGUAGCCGCCGCACAACCACCGUUACUACGAUACCACCACUGAAACGGCACCACCGCCAUUAGUUUAUUUUUGUAACCACAUUUCUUGUUUUUCAUCUCUCUCUAUAAACAUUAUACCGUUCAUUAUCCAUCACCACAACCAUCCUCGGCCCCGCCCAUCUUUCUUCUACUUCUCCUUCACCGUCCCUGCCGCUGCCCCACCACCACGCUACCGCCGUAGCAAAAACGUUGGAUUUUUGUGGCUCCCCUCCGUAACCGGCCAUCUAAAUUAUUCCGGCCGGAGAUCUCUGGUGGUGGCGGGAGUUAUAUAGGGUGUAAAACAACGGCAAACGACGGGGAAACAAUUGUUGGAGGAGACGCGUUGGUUUUUUUCCGAAAGGGUGCGUUGCUCUGGUUGGCACUUGGCAACCGUAAAGUUGUGACGGUUUUUUUUGUGAAAGUUCUGUUGUUUUUUUUUUCUUUUGAAAGUUCUGUUGGUUUAUUUCAUGUUUUUGUCUGGCGCGUCGUUUUGGAUGUAAAAGCCCGAUUGUUUAGCAUGUUGACUGCUUCGGGUUGUAUGCACCGUCCUAUUGUUUAACAUCAAGGAUGAUCGGAGGUGAUACUGUUAAGGGAACGAAUGGUGGUGAAACAUGCGGAUCUUUAAAUAUCUUCGAUAAGGGUAACUUUAAAUGAAGCGGUGUCUUAGAGCAUUCGCAUUCUAACCAUCAAAUUAUGUGAGGAGGGGUUUUUAUAUUAUAAAGGGUAUAAAAAGUGGUUGUGAGUAGAGGAGAGAGAAAAUGUUACUAUUCAUCUGUAUAUUUGGGGGGACACUGUUCACCCGUUAUAAUUUUUUAAUAUAUUUUGAAAGUGGUUGUGAAUGGAAGUUAGAGAAAAAUGUAAUGAUAAUAUUAUUUAAUUGAAAGGAGAGAGAAAAAGUAUUUGU
Molecule: long non-coding RNA, 1014 nt
Filed under: Helianthus annuus (common sunflower)
Lineage: Eukaryota; Viridiplantae; Streptophyta; Magnoliopsida; Asterales; Asteraceae
Description: hypothetical non coding rna
Source: RNAcentral